This 10174-nucleotide long non-coding RNA is filed under the name Homo sapiens (human). RNAcentral's name for it is "non-protein coding lnc-HAAO-7:7". The record is from RNAcentral. Lineage: Eukaryota; Metazoa; Chordata; Mammalia; Primates; Hominidae.
CUUCCAUUUCCCAGAGAGGCCAGAGGCAGAGGGGUGCAGAAGAGAGAGCAGAGCCCCUUUGCCUGGGCACAUCUGGGCUCACUACAUGGGAAAGGGCCCCAGGACAAGGGAAGACGAGAAGAGACAGGCCAGGCCCAAGGAGGGAGAGGACCUGAGAUCGAAGAUAGGAGAGAGGAAGACAAGAAGGAGAAGCAGAAAUGAGAAGGUUGGAGAAAUCCGAAGAGGCAGCUAGGGAGAGUGGGAGGUAGGCAGAGGGCAGGCAGGAGAAAAGAAAUGAUUCUUUUUGAACAGGCCCGCGGCUCCUCCAGCACACUGACUCAAAGAUGUGGGCAGCUGAGCCUGCCUGCUCUGUGCCGUGGCUUUCUCAGUUAGUCCAGGACCACUGGGAGGGGAGUGGUGGACACCCAGCUAGCGCCUCCCCCAUCAGGAGCACCUACAGUCUGUGAUGACUGCCCCCAGCACCCUAAGUCAAUGUUUAACCGUGGCCUGAGCCCAGGAAUGUUCUAUCUGGGACAUGCAAUUACAGGGGGUUGGGUUACAGUCCCACCACUGGCAAGGGCUUGGUGGCAGGAGAUAAGAAGGUGGCACCAGGAAGGGUUGUGUGUGUGCUCAACCGUGGGCUCCCAGCACACCCCCGGGGCCGGCUCACAAGGCUCCAUUGUUGGGGUCUGGCUCCCAGCCCAUCGCCAGCCAGAUAGGAGCUGCUGUUUUGACAAGGCGAGAAAAGCACACCCCAAGUUCGUACAGAUCCCGUACCCCAUUCUUAUCAGGUGGAAGGUAGGGAGCUAGCAAAGCUAAUGUUGAUUUAGAGAAAAAAAAAAAGGAAGAAAUAUUAGCAAUCAUGGGAAAAGUCAGUUCCGGCAGCUGAAGGCAGGGUUGGGAGUGUCAAGGGCUGGGGAAGAGGCCCCACGGUUCUGGUGCUAUGCUGGGUACUAUGGUGCGGGAGUGGAAACCAGGCAUAGCCAUUCUGCUUCCUAGGACUUGAAGUCUAGUUAGGACAAGAAUAGUUCAUUUAUUCACCUAAAUAUGCAGGCUCUGUCGUAGGUGCUGGGGGGAUUCAAGUUGCUGAACUUCUAGUGGAAUGUGCUUAAAAAUAGAGAGCUGUGAACAUCUGCACUUAGCUGGGGGGACAGGGCGAGUGAGACAGAGGGAAGGCGGGGAUCACUCUUGGGUAGACAGGCAAGGCCCUGAAGGCUGAAGGAGAAAUGCAGAUUAUUACCAGGAGGCUGGGUGUGAAUCCCAGCUCCUUCUCCACCAGCGGAUUCUGAGAGAGGAAUUUUGUCUGACUGAGCCGCAAUCUAUAAAAUGAGGAAGACAGGAGAAACUACUUAAGGUGGUUAAAUAGAGGAUUGGAGGAGAGAAGUCAUGCAGGUACUGAGCACAGGUGGCCCCUCUGGAAAUCAGUAUCACAAAUGGGUAAAUCACAGGCAGCUGGUCAUCCAAGCUGGGAGCUAAAGUGUGGUAAACGUGGGCUAGACCCCAAGCUGGUGCUGUAGGCUAGGAUUGGGCUAGUUAGCACAGAGCAGGGACGGCAGCUCUGGGAGAGAAAGGAGGCCAGCCUGCUGUGAGGGUAGGGUCACGUCCCCUCUUUCCCCAGCAUGAGGGGCCGGCACACCACAGACAUAGAGGGCAGCUGCCAUCACCACUCAAAAACUCUGCGACACCAGUUUAAAGUGUGCUGUAAAAUACAGAUUUGGAAGAAAUGAGCUGAGUAGAUCACUUUAAGGAUGAAAAAUCCCUAUAAAAUGUCAGUUUGGGCCGGACGAGGUGGCUCACACCUAUAAUCCCAGCACUUUGGGAGGCCGAGGUGAGCCGGGCAUGGUGGCAGGUGCCUGUAAUCCCAACUACUCAGGAGGCUGCGACAGGAAAAUUGCUUGAACUCAGGAGGCAGAAGUUUCUGUAAACCAAGAUUGCACUACUGCACUCCAGCCUGGGUGACAGAGUGAGACUCAGUCUCAAAAAAAAAAAAAAAAAAAAAAAAAAAAGAAAGAAAAAAAGAAAAAGGAAAAGAAAAGAAAGAAAAUGUGUCAGUUUGGAGACCCACUGAUGAGAAAGAGCCACAGGGUGACCUCCUGUCUUGUGCAUGCAAGUCAUGCACUACUGUAGGUCUGCAACAAAGCUGCCCUGGGCAGACAAGGCAGGGGAGAAAGAGGUUGUGUUAGUCUGCUUAGGCUGCCAUAACAAAAUACCAGACUGGGUGGCUUCGACAACAGACAUUUAUUUCUCACAGUUCUGGGGGCUGAGAAGUCCAAGAUCAAGGUGCUGCCAAUUUGGUUCCUGGUGAAUGAGCAAACAGCACAGAAAAAGAAACAGCAGUAUAUGUGGAAGAAAGCAAGAAAAAUCAACUGGCCUGGAACCUAAGACUUGUCCAAAGAUGUCACAGAGAGUAAAAUGAGAAAAAUCCAGUAGCCCGUGCCCAGAGCAGUUCCUCGUACCCAGAUCUCGUUUGAUUCUCAAAACCACCCUAGAGGAGACAGGAGGCACCUGAGGCCCAGAGACGUGAAGCCACCUGUCCAAGGCCAUACAGCAGAUAACUUAUUCUGGAGGAAGACACCUGCCAUGCCGUGAGGACAGUCAAGCAGUUCUGUGGAGAGAUCCAUGUGGUGAGAAACAGGGGCCUCCUGUCAACAGGAAGAACAACCUGGCAGGCCUGUCUUGGAUUCAGAGCCUCCAGCCCCAGUCGAGCCUUCAGAUAACUGCACCCUUGGCUGUCAUCUCAACUGCAAUCUCACGACAGACCCUGAGCUGGAACUACUCUGUUUACCAAUGCCUGGCCCACAGAAAGACUAUGAGAUAAAACAAGUAUAUUGUUUUUAGAAGAUAUGUUUUGGAGUAAUUUAUUAUGCUACAAUAGAUAAUACAGAAUUUGGUGAUUUUAUGAUUCUCAACUCCUGGCCAAAGCAAAGCACACAACAAGUCUCAAAGAAAAGUCUCACAAGUGGAAUUGAAAGUACAAAGCUGGCCAGACAAGCUUGUGCAGACAUGUAUGUGGUGGAGUUGAAAAUCACACACUACGACUCACACAAAUGAGAAACCCGAGGCUCAGAGAGGCCCUGUAAUUUGCUCAAGAACAAGAAACCACUACAUCUGAGAUCUUAUCCUUCUGACCCCUCGAUCCGGGUCUUUGCACAGGCAUGGCACCACUCUUGAGUACCCAAGUUAAAAUUCCAGCUCUAUCCUUUAGGAAUUUGACCUUGGCCAAGUUCUCAAAGUCUCCUGUGCCUUACUUUAAAAAAUACGUUUCUUUAAUAAAUGCACCUCAAUAAAGUUAUUGAGGGAUAAUUUACAUACAACAAAUGCACAGAUUUUAUGUGCCCAGCUUGAUGAAUUUUGACAAAUGGAUACCCCCAUGUAAUAACCACACAGUCAAGACGUGGAACAUUGUUCUUACCCCAGAAAGCCCUUCCUUCCGUGCAAACAAAAGGAAGCAAACAAAACUAUCUGCCUCAUAGUGUUAGGAAAAUCGAAUGAGAUAAUACAGGUGAGAUCCUUAGCAAGGCGCCUGGCACGCAGGAAACGCUGGAUAAAUGCAUUGCUAUCAUUCCCUGGCUGUCCCCCUCCUUGACUGGGGCAGGGAUCAGGGCAUAUGCUGAACCAUCUCCCUUCUCCAGCCUAAGGCCAUUUAGCCAGACUAGAAGAAGACUCGGGGGGAUGGAAUAUGUGUCUUGGAGGAGACUUGGAACCAUUUUCGUAAGUCUCCAGAAGCCAUGAUGGGGCUGGGGGUGGAGGAAUUGGCCAGCUUUUGCCUAUGUCUGGCCCAAAGAUAGGGUUUUGCAAUCAUAGCUCACUGAAACCUCAAACUCCUGGGCUCAAGCUGUCCUGUCUCAGCCUUUUGAUUAGCUGGGACUACAGGUAUAUAUGCCGCCAUGCCAUGCUAAUUUUUAAAUUUUUUGUAGAGACGGAGUCUUGCUAUGCUUCCCAGGCUGGCCUCAAACUCCUGGCCUCAAGUGAUCCUCCCGCCUUAGCCUCCCAAAGUAAGCCUGGCCAUCCUCUGUUCUUUUGAGACUCAAAGGAUGAAGGCGCUCAUGGCAGGGCCAGCUUCACAGGUUGGUGACCAAGGCAGCUGCACAGGGCCUUGCUGUCAGAAAGUCCCCACAACUUGGAUUAAUGCUCCCAUGUUAUGUGAAAUCCUUAAUAAUUUUUGAACAAGGGAUCUUGCAUUUUCAUUUUGCACUGGGCCCUGUAAAUUAUGCAGCUGGUGGUGAUGGUGGGGAGGGUGGAGCAAGCUGGCUGGUUUCCUCCCUAGAAAAGCCAGUGCUAUUGCCCUCCCCACUUCCACUCACUGACUACACACAGCUACACAUGCUCAUUCACCUCCAUGGUCCCCUCUCUGUCCCUCUCCACAGUGGGGCAUCUAGGAGAAUCUGGGUCACUCAGGGCCCUCCGCUGCCAGGAGACACCAACAGAACCUGGAAGCCUGCUUGGCCUGGAAACCCCCUUGGGAACAGCUCCUGCUCACAGGGCCUGCUGGGCAGGCCACCCGAAUUCCCAUCCUCUGACACUCCUCUCCAGCCGCCUCCACCCAGCUCUGCAGCUCAAGUGCAAAACCACAGCUGGGUGCCAGCCAAGGGGUCUUGGGUUUCAUCACAUUCAACUUCCCACACCUCGGCCAGAGGCCAGGGUCGAAUGGGGCUGCUGGCCAGAGGCCUGGGCUGGAAGGCAGAGGAGGGGGUGGGGUCCAGUCCUACCCUCGCUUCCUAUCCAUGGCAGAGUACCCCCUCUCUUAGGCCUCAGCUUCCCCUCUAUGUAAUGGGACAGGACUCCACAGGGCUGGAGCAGAUGCCAAGGAUGUCGGGAAGGAAGGCCUCAGAGGCCAAGGCAUCGAAGGAGCUCCUAGAACUUCACUGUCCAAUAUGGUGGCCUCAAGCCUCUCAUAGCCAUUUAAAUUUAAAGGAAUUUAAAGGAAAGAAAAUUCAUAUUUCAGUUCCUCAGUCACUCCAGUCACUUUUUUUUUUUUUUUUUUUUUUUUUUAGAUGGAGUCUUGCUCUGUCACCCAGGCUGGAGUGCAGUGGCACAAUCUCGGCUCAUUGCAACGUCUGCCUCCCGGGUUCAAGCGAUUUUCCCACCUCAGCCUCCUGAGUAGCUGGGAUUACAGGCACAUGCUGCCACACCUGGCUAAUUUUUUUGGUAUUUUUAGUAGAGACUGGGUUUCACCAUGUUGGCCAGGCUGGUCUUGAACUCCUGACCUCAAGUGAUCCACUCCCCUUGGCCUCCCAAAGUGCGGGGAUUACACGUGUGAGCCACUGAGCCUGGCCUCCAGUCACAUUUCAAGUACUCAGUAGGUAGCGACAGGUGGCUCAUGGCCACUGUAUUGAAUAGCACGGAUACAGAACAUCUCCGUCAAUACAGAAAGUUCUACCGAGACGCAUGCCCUGGCUAGGAAAGACCAGGUGCCAGGGACACUAGUAGCUUUACUCUCCUGGGGUGGGGAGCUGGGGCAGGGGGCUGUGAUUGAGAAACACUGGAGACAUCCUCUCACUCCUCUCCCCACCUCACCACGGAUGAGGUGGACUCGCCAUGAGGGGAGCCAGGAGCCUGACACCCAGUACAGGUGUGGACACCCCAGAGGCAGCUUCCAUCCUGACUCCUGGAGUGGAAAGCAGGCUUCCUGGGUCCCUGGGAAGAGGCACUGGGGGAAGCUUCAGAGAGGGAGGAAGUGGCCAGAAGCAGGUGCUCUUCCUAGCAAAGGGCUCCCCAGGAGCUACUUCCAAAUGGGAAACAUCAGCCCUCCCCAAUCCUCACCUCUGGAUGAAUUCCCUGAAGGCUUCAGGAGCAUUUGCAUGUUACAGUACAAUGGUCCUCAAACUUCAGCUUGCAUGGGAAUCCCUGGAAGCUUGCUAAGGCACAGCCAACUAAGUACAAACUUGAAACACGCACACUUCCACUGUCUAUGCGGCAGGCCGAAAUAGGGAUAUCUGGGUUCUGUCCAUCAUAGGGUUCAUUAUUGUGUGGGCCUGUCUGGGGCAGAUCAUUGAAAGAUAUUAGGUUGGUUUUAUCUGGGCAUCUUAGGGAUGCAGCAGAGAGGGUGAUAUGGCAGACCUCAGGAGAGACUGGUUGGGGGAGAGGAAAGAAAGGGGUGGAAGCGAGGGAUGGAGGACAGGGAGGGAGGAGGGAAGAGGGGGAUGGAGUGGGAGCCCGCUCGUGCAUCUCCUGCUGACCUUGUUCUUCCUACCUAUCUUCUCACCUCCUCCUCACAACCACCUUACAAGUCGGCAAAUGUGUGGCUCUGAGAGAUUACACAACCUUGCAGCAGAUACAUGGUCCCUAGGGAGUCAGGCUGGACUCUGUUUCCUCUACCUUUUCUCCCUCCAACUCUGAGUAUUUUCAAACGAAAUAAGCCUGGGAAGCGGGGAAGACUCAGAGCUGUGAAUACAUUUUUUUGUUUUCUGAGCUCAUUCGGCUUUGACAGGAAGCUUGGCUGCGUGCGGGCAGGCGUCUGAGCCCUCCCUCAAUGGUGCUUUUUAGGCAUGCCUUUAUACAGAAUGUAAAGAGUCGCAGUUAUAAAUAUCAGCGGGCUUCUGUGGCCCACUCCGUCCCUCAGCCCCCACGCCCAGCUGGGAUGUCCUGGGACUUCCCGCUUGCCCUCCUCCCCCAACCCCUCCAGCCAGUACCACCCUCAGUGCAUCUGGGAAGGGUGGGAACCGUGAUGCGCCUUGGGCUGGGAAACCAAGGGGGAGUGAAACCCAAAACUGAAUUUCUCCUUUUUCGGAAGAAAGGUUGUUUUCAGUGUCAGGAAACCCAUAAUCCUACAGCCAGCUGUGAAGAUUCCAGAAUGCCUCUCACUUUACAGGUGAGGAACUAGAGGGCCCCCUGGAAAGCUUAUGAACACCCUGACCCCAGAGCUCACCCUCCCUCACUGGGAAAGAAAGUCCCUCUUUUCACUUUGUCACCCCCACCCACCUCCCAAGGCACCCACAGCAUGGUCACUCUUUGAUGACUGUUUGUAUUAUAAGCGGCUCCUCCAACUCUGUUCUACAGUCCCCUCCAUGGAUGCCCUGGAGGGAGGAGGCAGGCGAGACGCGGUCCCAUUUUACAGACGGCCAAAGAGUUGAGUGACUACACAGCUCAUCCCAGGAGAGCUGCCUGGCCCUGCUUCCUGAUAGCCGGCCUGUGCCCCUAGACCUCCCCCGACCCCACAGGCCCCCUCCCCCUCCCUGUAUGCACCCCCUGUCCCCUCACUGAGGCCCAGGAGCACAGUUGAUUUAGAAUUUCCUGCCCUUCUGACAAUCUGCGUGCACAAAACGGGCUUUCUUUAAACCGCUUCGAAGGGCAUCUCCUCCAGCCCCUUCCCCUGCCUUCAUUAAACGCCUCGUCUGAAGCAGGAUAAAUCUUCGGUGAUUAGAAGCAUGCUCCUUGUUCCUGUCCCUGCCCCGAUGGGAAGCGCAUUUCUCAAAGGGUUAAUUAACAGCCUUCACACAGGCCGCAUUUAGCAACGAACACAAAGCCACACACAUAAAUAACGUCUGGGGCGGAAGAAGAGGGUGCAGAUGGUUUGUGACUUUGCCGUCCAGAGUUUUCUAAACCGGUGUGAACCACGUCCUGUCGGGACCAGGACCAUGAGUCAGGGUCAGGCUUUAAGGUGGGCCAGGCCAGAGACGCUAGUGGCCAACUUGGUGCUCUUUGAAAGCAAGUCCUAAAGGAAAACAGAGCGUGGAGCCAAGAUGUGGGGAGAGAGGGAGGGGACGGGGUAGGGAGGAGGGCCUGCUGGCUGACCUGGAGAGAAAAGAGCCAAAGAGAGCCAGAGAUGCGAACCGGGAAGAACCAAGCAGGAGGCCAGAGACAUUGAGUCCCAGCUCCCUGCAAAGUAGUGCUGAAUUUACCAGGGGCUCCACCCAGAAAUUCAGACCCUGGGGCAUAGGGUCCCACUCUGGCCCUGUAGUGAGAGUGAUGGCAAGACAUCCCCAGCCUAAGAGGAGUUGUGUGGGGCUGAGAAAAGGGUUUCAGGAAGGAUAGCCCUGAGGAACCCUGGAAAGUUCUGGAAGUGGCACAGUGAUAUUCGCAGUAUUCCGCCUCAUCCAUGCAUAGGGUCUGUUCCUCUACGCAGCCUUCAGCUCCCCUGGGGGCUCAUAUGCCCCUUCCCAAAGCUAUGGGAACACAUCUGAGGUCUCAAAAUGCAUGGCAACAGGAACACAGGAUUCACUUUACAGAGAUCAGCACUGUUGCAAGGGAUGCCUGAAGCCAAAACAGAGGAAAACGAGAGCCAAGAAGCAGAGGGAGCGAUGCAGAUGUGCACUGGACAUCCACAAACCGCAACAGGAAUGGGGAGAGGAGAGAAGUGAUUGGAAAGCCAGUUUUUGGCAUUCGGCUGGCUGCCAUUCUCUUCACCUUUGUGGUCCCUCCAGUUUGCCCUCCUCAGCCCUAAGGGGUCCUCCCCUACUCGGAGAGGCCCUCACCAUGCUCACUCAGACCCUCUCCUCCUAGGAGCCAGGAGGUGGGACAUGGGGAGGGGGACAGUGAGUCCUGAAUGGAUUUCUGCCCUGGAGGUGAGGGCACCCCUGGUGCCAGGGAGAGGCCCUACCACAGCACAAACUGGGCUGCCCUUCCUGACCCAGGGAUGAACCAGCCUGGGCACUCAGGCCACGGCUGUCUCCCUGUGCCAGGCUCAGCGCCCUGGGGAUGAGGGCGCAAAGAAAGAGACGGGGCCGACAACACAGGCCCAACAGCAGGCCCUGUGUCUGGGAGCGGCAGUUUCUCCCCAAGUAAUUUUCCACAGUUUGGCUUUUCCUCCACACACAGGCUUGCUCACAGAGUUCAGAUGGUGGCUGGUCCUCCAGAGGGUUACUCUGGGCCACUCACCUGCUCGGUGACCCCACCUGCAUUGAUUUCUGCCCUCAUCACUCAGCUGUCUCCAGCUUGCUUCUCAAAGCCCUGUGCCCAUCUCAGGGAUAUGGCUUCUCCAGCCCCCAGAGCUCACUUCACCCCAUCAGGGCCUGGAUCUUGGGUAGUUAUGGGAACCCCUAAAUGCACCAUCCUCUCUGGGCCAGGGCCAACAUUUCUGUUUUCUCAGAAGGAUCAAAGCCCCUUUCCUAGCCCUGCCAGGAGGAAGCAGUUUUGACUCGUGCAAAUAUCUGAAGCCCAUUUGGGAUUUUACUUUGGUGAGAAAUAAAUACACAGCCAUCUGCAAAUGAUGGAAAUAUGACUUAAGUAACUUUUUGGUCGAGGCUCCUGGGCCAGAGGCCAGAUGGAAAUAAGACCUUGUAUCUCAGUCCUCCUUGCACACUUUCAGAAAAAAGAAAAGGCUGGGGGAAAAAGUUGGUGGAAACUGAAGUUCAAAAUGGAGUGUGCUAAAUUUCUUGGCCUGGGAAAGGAAAAAUAAACAUCAAACAGCUACCCCAUUCAAGUGUGCGUUAUCUUGCUCAUCCUCGCCAAGAACUCACCCUCCUCCCUUCUUUGACCGGGAAUUGCUGUGCCCACGAACAGCCCCCACGCCCACCCCUAACCCAGGGCAGGCAAACAAUGGGCCAGAAAACCCUGCUCAGCCAAGGCCUCUCCCCCUGCAGCCCCCAGAGGCCAUAAGAUUGGGAAACACAGGCUAUUUUUAUGUGUUAUUUGUCUACCAACUGUGGCUCCAGGAGCCUGAGCAACAGUAUCAUCUGUGGGAGGUACCAUUGAUUUUUUUGUUUUAACUCGCUCAGACAAAGCCACAUUUUCGCAACUUUCAGAAAAGCCAAAAAAGCAACACUCUGCAAGGCUGACCUCUUCCCUGGCUUGCCUUUCUGCCCUCCAGGGAGCUCUUUCUGGGUGUGUCUGGGCCCCUGUUGCUCUGUGCUGGCCCACACCAAGCACACAGCCCCAGAUCCAGAGGGCCCAAAGGAUAGCCAGUGAAACAAGGAAGGGUGAGGGGGGCAGAGAGAGGAUCUGAGGAGAAGGGGUAGUGUCUCCAACUGGUGAGGGAGGCACAAACCCUGCCCUGGGGGUGCCAGUGUGAUGGAGCAGUGGGGCUAACAGAAGAGUGUGAGAAGUCGCACACAGAGAAAAUGGCUGCUUGAUAGCCAUCCAUCUCCCAAGUCCACGGGUUGGGAUGCUCUGUGCAGCGGGUACACCCAGAGGCAGAUACAGGGCUGAGAGGGUGCAGGCCAGGUGCGACUGCCUAGGCUGGGGCUGAAAGAAUCCAGCUGGCAGAGGUGGCUCACACCUGUAAUCCCAGCACUAUGGGACGCCGAGGCACGAGUCC